Molecule: transfer RNA, 75 nt
Filed under: Planctomycetota bacterium
Lineage: Bacteria; Pseudomonadati; Planctomycetota
Description: tRNA-Gly
Rfam family: tRNA
About the family: Transfer RNA (tRNA) molecules are approximately 80 nucleotides in length. Their secondary structure includes four short double-helical elements and three loops (D, anti-codon, and T loops). Further hydrogen bonds mediate the characteristic L-shaped molecular structure. tRNAs have two regions of fundamental functional importance: the anti-codon, which is responsible for specific mRNA codon recognition, and the 3' end, to which the tRNAs corresponding amino acid is attached (by aminoacyl-tRNA synthetases). tRNAs cope with the degeneracy of the genetic code in two manners: having more than one tRNA (with a specific anti-codon) for a particular amino acid; and 'wobble' base-pairing, i.e. permitting non-standard base-pairing at the 3rd anti-codon position.
Source: RNAcentral
GCCCUCGUGGUUCAGUGGCAGAAUUCCUGAUUGCCAGUCAGGGGACGGUCGGUUCGAUUCCGCCCGGGGGCUCCA